Camellia sinensis is the source of this 3864-nucleotide non-coding RNA. The record is from RefSeq and is a predicted model, not a curated record. Lineage: Eukaryota; Viridiplantae; Streptophyta; Magnoliopsida; Ericales; Theaceae.
GCCCUAUCCACUGCCUCCCCGGCACCACCGCCUUAGCCACGCCCUCACUCGACACUGUUGCUCCACCUCAUGUGAUUGAGAAAAAAAACUGUAGAGGACCACAAAACAUGAUAUAAAUCUUGGAGUUUGUUCUCUCUUGCAUUUCAGGAAUUUUGAGGGGCAAAGGAGAUGUCUAGGUUUUGAGCACUGUGGCAAGCUUCACUUAAUGCAACAAAGAGAGGUAUGGCAUCUCAACUUUUAAGAUGAUGGGUAUCUAUGUCUAUGCAUGUUGAGUUUGCAGAGCUGCUUUCUUCUUGUUAAGUUAAUCUCUAUAUGUGUAUCUGAAAUGUUUGUUAGUUCUUUUGAUUUCUAUUUAUUUAUUUUUCAGUGUUUUUUUAAAAUAAAAAAAAAAUUGUUGUGUAAUUAAAAUUAUUGUAUGUUGUAUGUCUCAAGGCAUUUAACUGGAAUUCAAGUCAAUGCAUUGAUGUUGGAAAUUGUACAUCACAUUUCUGAUAAGUAGGUUGGUUCUAAAGUUUGACGUAAUUAGUUCUAAGAAGAAAUGAAAUUUUGUGAGCUGAUAAACAAUUGUCUUCCUUUCUUUUUCCUAAUGCCAAAAAAUAUUUCUCGUAUAUGAUAUCACAAAUCAAGUGUAGAGACACUAAGCUUUGCAAGUUUGUCAAUCAAUGAUUAAUUUGUGAAAUAGGUAGUUAUAGAACUCGUCACUAACCAAUUUAAUAAAAUAAUUUUAUGAAAUUUCACUCACAAAUAUUUGAAUAAAAAACCACCCUCAGCAUUUUGGAAAUUUAUGUAGUUAAUAAUUGUUCCAGGGAAUCACAUAUUUGAGAAGUAAAGCGGGUUCCUUUUCAAUAGUUUAUAUUAUUUAAAUGAGAUGUCAGUGCUUGGUGCAAUCAAUUUUUUUUUGGUUAAUUGUAUUACACCAUAAAAAUUGCCCUUGAUCAACUUUGUCAUGACUCAUAUUUAAGACUAAAAGAUUCCACGUGGAACUCCUUUUGAGGUGGUUCUUAGUGAAAAAAAAUGGAUACCUUUUAAAGUUUCAACCUAACCAAGAUUGACACUUCUAAGAAAUGUGUCGGACACUAACACAACACGACACAAAAUUUAUCUAAAACUUCCUAACACUUAGACACACAUGAAAUACAUUACAAGUUUGAAAAGAAUAACUUGUAAUCAAAUGAAAAAAAGAAAGUUGUAACAACACCGAUCCGUAAUUAACCAUUAAUCUGCAAUUAAGAAUGCUAACUGAGUGCUUAGAAUGGAAUUAUGUGUUAAUUGUGUAUUUUGUAUGCUAUAUAGCUUUCUAUCUGUUACUUGUAGAAAUAUCUAUUUGGAAUUCUGCUUUGAUCUGGAAAUUGAAAGCCGUAUCGGCAUCCGAAACCAAAAUUAGUUACAUCAAUAUGCUAUUUGGAAUUUUUAGAACACUAUGGCGAAUUUAAUUAAAAAUUGAUUCAGUCUGAUUAAUUAAGUUGUGUUUGGCAAGCCUAAUGUUCCAAUUAAUGUAUAUUAGCAUUACAACUAUAUAAGUGGGCUCUAAAGCUCAUUCUUGAGCUCAAUAACGUUUCAUUUGAGUGGAAAAAUCUGGUGAGGCUUUGUACAGAGAGAGAGAGAGAUAGAGAGAGAGAGAGAGAGAGAAAACUCUUAUUCUAGAGUGAGAAAAGAAGAAAUUGAAGGAAAUUUGAAGGAAGACUUGAAGAUUAUUGUUUGUAGGAUCAAGAUUGUGCAAGAACAAGAGAAUUUGGAGACUCUAGGUAAGAAAUCAACUCCUAAAUUAUGAACCUAGGUCAUCAAACAUGAGAAUACAUGAAGAAUAAGAGUUUAAAUGCAUAUUAUGAGCUUAAAAUGAAGAAUUGAGUUGUAUUUCAUACAUGCAUUCAUUUAUGAGUGUUAAAUCAUCAUUUUGAUUAUGAGCUUUAUCAUUUAUGUUGAGUUUAGACCAUGAAAUUAACAUGCAUGCAUAUUAGAUCAAGUUUUGAAAGUAAAUUCCAUGUUUGAAGAGUAUUGAAAAGAAUUUUACAUGCAUGUUGAACCUUGCCAAGUUAAGUUUGAUUAUGAGCAUCUAAAUUGUUAUUGUGAGUUAUUUGGUACAUGCAUGUUAGAGUCAUCAUGUUUCAUCACUUGAAUUCAUGUUUUGAGAAGGAAUUUUCUACAUGCAUGGGGCCUUAUAACUCAAAUUGGGCCAAACAUCAUGGAUCUUGAAGAAAAGAGUUGUAUGUUAUACAUGCACGAAAGUUUUUGGGCAUAAUUUUGGUAAAUUCAUGAGUUUUGAGCAAAAAGAGCUUGUGAAAACCAUAUGUUUAUGUUUUGGAAAAGUUUUCAAGCUUUAAAGACAAACCAUGUGUGGACACCCUAUUUUUCACCGCCUGCAAGGCUCAAGCGCUUUGCCCGAUACACUCGAUGAUAAAAGUGGUAUUGUGCAUGGUUCGAGGUCUCAAUGAAGGGGCCAUGUUUAAGCUCCGAAACAAUCCCAAACCUUUCAUAUUUCCACUAAUUAUACCCAAGAAAUCCAUUUUUACACAUUGUGCCACCCUAUGCUGAGAUGGAAACAGAAAAACAAGGGAAUGCAUCGAGGCCCGGCCGUGCCUCAUUGAGGGCCGGCCGUGGCUAUUGAGGGCCAGCCAUGCCUUAGUAGCGAGACACACUAUUCUGGGCGGGAGGCCACUAGCUGUCCAUUUUUGAAGAUAUUUAUGAUAUUUUUGGCUCAAAUUCUAUAAAAACAACCAUGUAUCUCUAUUUUGAGGGUUGAAGAAUUUCAAGAAAGCCUUUAUUCCACCUUGAGCGCUCUUUCUUCUCCUUCUUCUUGUGCAAGCAACACUUUGAGCUAACCUAUCACCUUGAACCUAUAUCCACACACCAUAUACAUCUUCAUACCUUAGCCUAGGAAGCUUGGUUGAGCCUUGAACACCAUAAUUCAAGCUUGAGAGUGUGGUGAGACUUAGUUUGAAUCACAAGCAAAAGCUUACUUCUUUGAGAGGUAUAAGCUUGUCAUCAUCUCUUUUACUUCUUGUUCUUUCAUUUAAUAUCUAGUUCUUAUUAUUUUGUGUUGUUUUGAUCCAUUUCCAAGUGUUUGAGUUUGGGUUUGGAGAGCUACAAAAAGGGUAGAAAGAGUUUACUCUUUCUGCACCUUUAAACAUAGCUCAAAGCUUUGCUUUUUACACUCUUUUUCUUAACUCUCUAGACUGAUUUUCAGAGUUAAAAAAAAGGCUAAAAAUCAUGCUUUGAGAUUUCAAAAGUGGAGGGGUUAGCCUCCCCUCCUUGUUCUUGCUUACUAGUCUUGAUUCCUCUCUUUGUUGUUUAGCUUGUUAGGCUUUUUUCAUGCAUUCUAAGCCACUAUUUUUCAUCUCUUGAGGGCUAUUUUAGGGCUGUUUUAGGUGGUCUAAUUAGUUCAUGCUUUGAUUAGUUUAGUUGUUGUCUCAUAAGUAUGCCUACAUAGCUUGUAGUAUAUUGUUCUAAGCUUUUCUUCAACUCAUUUCCAUGUUUAAAGACCUCAUUUUAAUAAUCAACUUGCCAUUCAUAUAUUUCAUUUGAGAGUUGUUUCAAUCGGUUGACGGUUAUUCAAAACAUGAACUAGCGAUUUACGCUUAAUGGCUUAAUCUCUACGGAGGUUCAUUGCCAACGGUGUAGUCUCUUUUUUAUGUUGAGAAUCACCUCUCGUUUGACAUACUUCUCACGUAGUGGACGUAACAAUCAUCUUGGACUUAAUGGAUUAAAGGAUGGCAAAGACUAAUGAAUUUGGCUUAAAAUGAACUAACUCAAAUAAAGAAAAAGAGUUAUAUUGCUUGGGAUUCGGCCGAACGUUAUGCCAAAUCCAUUGUGUCAAGAGUUGUCUUACAUCAAUUCAUGAUGUUUUGAUGGAUCUUGAAGCAUCUC